RNAcentral lists this ribosomal RNA (501 nucleotides) under uncultured bacterium. RNAcentral's name for it is "partial 16S ribosomal RNA". It matches the Rfam family "Bacterial small subunit ribosomal RNA", at positions 30 to 523 of the family's 1533-position model. The record is from RNAcentral.
AUUGAACGCUGACGGCAGGCUUAACACAUGCAAGUCGAGCGGGGGAAGGUAGCUUGCUACCGGACCUAGCGGCGGACGGGUGAGUAAUGCUUAGGAAUCUGCCUAUUAGUGGGGGACAACAUCUCGAAAGGGAUGCUAAUACCGCAUACGUCCUACGGGAGAAAGCAGGGGAUCUUCGGACCUUGCGCUAAUAGAUGAGCCUAAGUCGGAUUAGCUAGUUGGUGGGGUAAAGGCCUACCAAGGCGACGAUCUGUAGCGGGUCUGAGAGGAUGAUCGGACAAACGGGGACUGAGAUACGGCCCAGACUCCUACGGGAGGCAGCAGUGGGGAAUAUUGGACAAUGGGGGGAACCCUGAUCCAGCCAUGCCGCGUGUGUGAAGAAGGCCUUAUGGUUGUAAAGCACUUUAAGCGAGGAGGAGGCUACUCUAGUUAAUACCUAGGGAUAGUGGACGUUACUCGCAGAAUAAGCACCGGCUAACUCUGUGCCAGCAGCCGCUGUAA